UACGAGGGGGGCGAGCGUUGUUCGGAAUUAUUGGGCGUAAAGGGUGCGUAGGCGGCCUGACAAGUCUGAUGUGAAAUCCCUGGGCUCAACCCAGGGCCUGCAUCGGAAACUGUCGGGCUUGAGUAUGGGAGAGGUGGGUGGAAUUUCCGGUGUAGCGGUGACAUGCGUAGAUAUCAGGAGGAACACCUGUGGCGAAAGCGGCUCACUGGACCAUAACUGACGCUGAUGCACGAAAGCUAGGGGAGCAAACAGG
This 253-nucleotide ribosomal RNA is filed under the name uncultured bacterium. RNAcentral's name for it is "partial 16S ribosomal RNA". It matches the Rfam family "Bacterial small subunit ribosomal RNA", at positions 524 to 776 of the family's 1533-position model. The record is from RNAcentral.